Molecule: long non-coding RNA, 1053 nt
Organism: Brassica napus (rape)
Lineage: Eukaryota; Viridiplantae; Streptophyta; Magnoliopsida; Brassicales; Brassicaceae
Exons: 2
Source: RefSeq, a predicted model, not a curated record
GAGGAAGGAAGUAGUGGAUUGGGGUAAGGUUGUACGGUUUCCCCAAGGAGUUCCAAGAUUUUCUUUCAUUACUUGGCUAACAGUCAAGAACAGACUAUCAACGGGAGAUAGGAUGAGAACUUGGGGGAUGAUUCAGGAGUGUACACUAUGUGGAGAGAGAGAUGAGUCAAGAGAUCAUUUGUUCUUCGCGUGUCCGUACUCUUUCACAGUAUGGCACAACUUGGCAAAUAGACUCCUUGGCUCUCAUAUAGAUCCAGAUUGGCAGCUGACGUUGGAUCAUCUGCAGACAUUGCGAGUUGGUAUGGAUACUAUCCUUCUCAAAAUGCUCUUCCAGACGACCGUCUAUCACAUAUGGCGAGAACGUAAUGCAAGGCGUCACCACACAAGCUGGAGGACAGCUGAGGCCAUGUGUGCUGUGAUAGAUAAGGCAAUGAGGAACCGCAUUUCGUCUCUCAAGUAUCGAGCAGAUCAUAAGUAUGCAGGUCUGCUUCAAAGAUGGUUCAUUCAAACGAUGUAGAUGGCCAUUCUUUAUUUCUUUUUUCAGUCACACAUAGAAUUAGAGUAGUCAUAGAAGCUUCAUGAUUAUUUUGUAAAAGAUGCCCACAGUGGAUGAAUAAAUUUAAAAUUUCAUCAAAAAAAAAAACGAUAAUUAUCCCCCAAUAGUCUAAAUCCUUUAUUCUAAUGGAUUAUAAAGAUUGAAAGACAAAUAGUCACUUCAUGUGUCGAACCACUUGAGAAGAUUUGUUUCACAGAAGAACAUGAGAAAUAUUUGUCUGAUGGUAGCCAAAGUAGUAAGAAGAGAAUAAGGGACGCUUUUCCUUCUGUUGAGAGUAAUAUCAAAGCUACGCCUGUAACUGGUAAUCCUCUACGGAUAUGUUUUGUCUUCAAGAAACCGAGAGAAUCUGAGGUUGUUGUUCCUCAAGUCCCUCAAGAGGAUCGUGUUUGCUCCACCUCAGGGACUGAAAUAUCAAGUUCUGUCUCAGGUCAUGAUGAGAAUCUGCUCCCAGCUUCUCUUGAUAGUGACAAGACUACAGUUCUUUCUGAAUCAAAGAA